RNAcentral lists this long non-coding RNA (419 nucleotides) under Mytilus galloprovincialis (Mediterranean mussel). The record is from RNAcentral. Lineage: Eukaryota; Metazoa; Mollusca; Bivalvia; Mytilida; Mytilidae.
CGUAAUUUAAAUGUUACAAACAGAUUUUGCUCAAAUAUCCACGAAUUUCUUUCAUCAUGUAGACUGAAAUUAAUAUAAUUGUUUAUAUAUUUACAGCUCCUAGAAACUUUGUCAUUGUUGAAUGCACUGAUUGUUCAAUAACCCUUGAAUGGAUAAGUGCUGUCCCAUACGAGGUAUUAUCGUAUGAGCUUGACCAUCGCACUCAAGGAACAGAUUACUGGUCUGUCACGAAAUUCUCUUCUGAAGAUGAAUUUGCAGGGAAAAAUGGACGACAUAUGUACAUACUUCAAAAUCUGCAACCUGAAACAAAUUAUGACUUUAGGCUACGUUCUAUUAUUGAUCCUGUUAAAAGCUUUUAUUCGGAGACAAAGAAAAUGCGUACACUUAAUCUAGGUAGUUAAAUCAUUGUUGUGACGUCA